UAGGGAAUAUUGCUUAAUGGGCGAAAGCCUGAAGCAGCAACGCCGCGUGUGCGAUGAAGGCCUUCGGGUUGUAAAGCACUUUUUGCAGGGAUGAGGAAGGACAGUACCUGUAGAAUAAGCCUCGGCUAACUACGUGCCAGCAGCCGCGGUAAAACGUAGGAGGCGAGCGUUAUCCGGAUUUACUGGGCGUAAAGCGCGUGUAGGCGGAUUGGUAAGUUAGCUGUGAAAGCUCCUGGCUUAACUGGGAGAGGUCGGUUAAUACUGCUAAUUUAGAGUAUGUGAGAGGGAGGUGGAAUUCCGGGUGUAGUGGUGAAAUGCGUAGAUAUCCGGAGGAACACCAGAGGCGAAAGCGGUCUCCUGGCACAUGACUGACGCUCAGACGCGAAAGCUAGGGUAGCAAAC
RNAcentral lists this ribosomal RNA (402 nucleotides) under uncultured bacterium. RNAcentral describes it as "bacterial SSU rRNA". It matches the Rfam family "Bacterial small subunit ribosomal RNA", at positions 355 to 773 of the family's 1533-position model. The record is from RNAcentral.